CCUCCCCAUUACCUCGGAAAGCCGCCUUGGCGAUGCGGUCGGCUCUGCCGCGGAGGCCGGAGACGGUGCGGAGCUGGAGCUGCAGAGCCAUGGGAUGGAGAAGGUCUCCCCCUGCCCCGCCGGUGAUUUAUCUUCCCCUUACACAAUUAAAUGGGAUAACGAAGGUGAGCAGGAACAACGCAGGAACCCAGCCGAGCCAACACACAGGUCCCCGACGCACGGCGCACCCGAAGCGUUCCCCCGGCUGGCUGCAAUCAGCAGAGCGAGCUCUUCUCCUCCUACGCUCGGAGCAAUCACAUCAGCCUCCCCAUUUGUCAAACCGCUGAAAUCCUUUAUAUUAAUUGCAGAAAGUUUCCAUCUUUUUCUUUCCCCUGCUUUUUGUGGGCAGCGCCAGCUCCUCGGAGAGCCGGAGAGGGGCUGGGGGUUGAGCUGGGAACCGGGAACCUCUGGGACAGGCAGGAGCAAUCUCUGCCAAAUAAUCCCCUCUGUUUUUUCCCCCUCCCAGCUCUUCCCAAACCCAAAUUGCCUACUGCAGGUCUCUCUGCACCAGCUGUGGACCCCCCCUGCACCGAGUCUCUUUGAUUUUGUAGGUUUUUUUUUGGGGAUGCAGCCGUCAGGAGCGAGGCUUUGUGGGGUAAGGCCGCCCCGCGGCAUCAUCUGCAGCUCGGAGUGCUGCGGUGGGCGGCUCUGCCUGUGCGUGCUGGGCUCGGAAGAAAAGGGAAAAAAUGCUGUGGAGGCAAUUUCUGUACAUAAAGGAGGAGCGUGAGCAAACUCAAGGGCUUGCUAAGGAAGGAGGAAACUUCCCUGUGUAAGUCAAAUCCUCCAAAUUGAGCAUCCUGCCUGGAGAGGAGCCCUGCACUUCCCCAUCCAGCACGGCGACGCCAAGAUCCUGCUGGUCUCCAGAGGAGCUGGAGCUUCUGCCUGGCUUCUCCUUGCAGAUCUGAGCUGCCCUGGGUGCGCGCAGGGACCCCCAGCCCCCUUUUAUCCCACGGGGGCUUCAGUUCUCGUGCCCUCAGCCGGGGUUUGGCAGCCCCGAGAGCGCAGCGCCCUGGCGCAGCAGCGCUCCUCCCAAAUCCCAGCUCUUCCCAAAUCCCAGCUCCAUCUCCGUGCCGUGAGCUUUCUGCCCCGGUGACUGCUGCUGGAAAGCUGCUGGCGAGCGCAGCUCUCGUGGUGCUGGUCCCUUCAUAGCCUCAGCCUGCUCGUGGUUAACGUCGGCCAC
This is a long non-coding RNA of Anas platyrhynchos (mallard), 1219 nucleotides long. RefSeq lists it as uncharacterized. Lineage: Eukaryota; Metazoa; Chordata; Aves; Anseriformes; Anatidae. The record is from RefSeq and is a predicted model, not a curated record.